This 1668-nucleotide ribosomal RNA is filed under the name Triticum aestivum (bread wheat). Its description in RNAcentral is "partial small subunit ribosomal RNA". The record is from RNAcentral. Lineage: Eukaryota; Viridiplantae; Streptophyta; Magnoliopsida; Poales; Poaceae.
AUGGGCGCGGACGAGGAGGGGCAGUCCCCCGCGCGGAAGCGCGAGCGCGAGGAGGAGUCCGCGGCCGCCGACGAGGGGGGCGCCGCCGCCGCCGCCGAGAAGCGCCCGCGCGCGGGGGACGAGUCGGAGGGCGCCUCGCUGCUGGGGCUCGCCAACUACGCGGACGAGGAGGAGGAGGAGCGCGGGGCCCCGAGGGGGCACGCGAACGGCCGGCCCCGCGAGGAGGAGGAGGAGGAAGACGAUGAGGGUGAGGAGGAGGACGAGAGGAGGGCUCCGGAGAGGCGGCCCAGGCAGGUCGAGCUGCGCCGGGACUGCCCCUACCUCGACACCGUCAACCGACAGGUCCUUGAUUUUGACUUUGAGAAGUUCUGCUCAAUCUCCUUAUCGAAUUUGAAUGUGUAUGCGUGCCUAGUUUGUGGAAAGUAUUACCAAGGAAGAGGCUUGAAAUCGCAUGCGUAUACCCACAGUCUUGAGGCAGGCCACCAUGUCUUCAUUAACCUUCAAACUGAGAAAGUUUACUGUCUUCCUGAUGGAUAUGAGAUAAAUGAUCCAUCACUAGAAGAUAUUCGACAUGUUCUCAAUCCAAGGUUUGCAAGAGAGCAGGUUAAAAUUCUUGACAAGAACAAGCAAUGGUCAAGAGCUCUGGAUGGCUCCAAUUAUUUACCUGGAAUGGUUGGUCUUAACAACAUUAAGGAGACUGACUUUGUGAACGUCACAAUACAAUCACUGAUGAGGAUUACCCCUUUGAGAAAUUUCUUUCUCAUACCUGAAAAUUAUCAGCAUAGCAAAUCCCCACUGGUUCAUCGGUUUGGAGAACUAACUCGCAAGAUUUGGCAUGCUAGGAACUUCAAGGGCCAAGUUAGUCCACAUGAGUUUCUUCAAGCAGUUAUGAAGGCUAGUGAGAAGAAGUUUCAGAUUGGUGUACAAUCUGACCCAGUGGAAUUUAUGUCAUGGCUCUUGAACACACUGCAUGCAAAACUAAGAAGUUCAAAGAAGAAAAAUAGAAGCAUCAUAUAUGAUUGCUUUCAGGGAGAACUUGAAGUUGUGAAGGAAAUUCACAGGAAGCAUUUAGUGGAUGAUGAGCAGAAUGGCGAGGCAGGUUCACAGGUUGAAACAACAAGUGACGGUAUGGUCACUCAAACAUCUCGGGUCCCAUUCUUGAUGCUCGGUCUUGACCUGCCACCACCACCACUUUUCAAAGAUGCCAUGGAGAAAAAUAUUAUUCCACAGGUACCACUGUUCAAUAUACUGAAGAAGUUCGAUGGUGAGACAGUUACCGAGGUGGUACGGCCAUCUAUUGCCCGAAUGAGGUAUCGAGUCAUCAGGCUUCCAAAGUAUAUGAUCCUUCACAUGCGACGGUUUACAAAAAACAACUUCUUUGUAGAGAAGAACCCUACACUAGUGAAUUUUCCUGUGAAGAACUUGGAAUUGAAGGAUUACAUCCCAUUGCCUAAGCCAAAAGAGAGUGAGAAGCUGCGCUCAAAGUACGACCUCAUAGCCAACAUCGUACACGACGGCAAGCCAGGUGAAGGAUGCUACAGAGUAUUCGUGCAGCGGAAAUCAGAGGAGGCGUGGUAUGAGAUGCAGGAUCUCCAUGUCACCGAGACCCUUCCGCAGAUGGUCGCUCUCUCUGAAGCCUACAUGCAGAUAUACGAGCAGCACGAGUGA